This 5600-nucleotide long non-coding RNA is filed under the name Triticum aestivum (bread wheat). RNAcentral's name for it is "long non-coding RNA (TAES_LNC003078)". Lineage: Eukaryota; Viridiplantae; Streptophyta; Magnoliopsida; Poales; Poaceae. The record is from RNAcentral.
ACACGUUUAUUGUUGAAAACUAUAUACAUGGAUGACCAUGCGGCCAGAGCUAGCCCUUAGUAAAAAUUAUCCAGUUCUCUUUUGUUGAAAACUAUAUAGAUAGAUGAUCAUGUGACCAGAGCUAGCUCUCAACAACAAUAUCCAGUUCUCUUUUGUCCGUCGCUUUCUUAUAGCAAAGCUGAAUUGCUCGUUCCUAUAUCUAUGCCAUUACAAAUGAGAAGACUCCAUGUUACCUGGUGUUUAUCAAGUCAAAAAAGAAUGACAUUUAGCACGGAAGGAUGAAACUUCUGGGCAUCAAUCUUGUGUACAUAUGAAUUAUGAAGCAAAAGAUACAGACUGCAGAGUGAGAAAUGACCAACGUAAAACAAUAUAAUUUGUGUACUGUAAGAAUGAAACACUGAAGAACCAAUAUACUCCCUCCAUAAAGAAAUAUAAGAGCGUUUAAAUAACUAAAGUAGUAAUCUAAACACUGUUAUAUUUCUUUACAGAGGGAGUACUUCUUAUGGUAAUAAUUCAUAUCCAAAAAAGUAAUCGAUGAAGGGGCAUCCGACACUAAUUUAACCAGACAUUUGAAUAAAACAUGUAAGAAUUAUCCAACCAAUUACUGCAAUGGGCUUACUGUCAGUAUACACCUUACAAAGGCUAAUUAAUUAUGAGAGACCUUAACGUCUCAAAAAGCUUAAUGCCUAGAAAUUUGCCAUCCCUAGAAAGAAAAUAAUCACAGCUUGUACUUAGUAACACACAUAAAAAAUACAGUCCAGUCGAUUUCGUUUUGACAGAACUACUGGUGAGCAUGCCAUUCAGCUGCCGUAUCACUAAAAGGUAGCCGCCAAUGGGACCUGUAGAAACCUAAACAUGUAGAAUAAAAUAGCAUCCAAAAUUGUAUCAUAAAAGGGAACUGAUACUCAGGCCAAGAUAAAGCUUACAUCACGGCCACACACACACGCUCAGUCACAAUCAACGUAGUCGGCCUGUGAGAGGAGCUUGUGUAUACAUAUUGGACACUACCUGCAUAUAUAUAGAUUAUUGCGAUGGAAGUCUCGGGCGUAAUGUGGAGAUGGAUGGUUCAAGCAGAGCGAUAACAUGUAUACAUGUCAAUUAUACACAUAGAAAAUAAUACAGUGGUUACUUAUCGGAAAUGGUAACCCACAACAUUUUACUCAUGCUGGAGGGCAUAAAUCGUUGCAUACUUAUCAAUUUCAGUUACUGUUUCAACUGGAAACAUGCAAGCGGAAUUCGGAGAAUAGAUAAUAUCGCCAUCAUUCAAAUGCACGAUAAAAAAAGUGGUACGAAAUUUGUUGACGCCGCCUCCUCGUGGUGCCGCUUCUUCUUCUUCCUCUCCUCUCACAACUCUCACUUGUGUUUCUCUCUUCUUCUCUCAAGAACACACACAAGAGAAAGAAGACUCAACACACACACGCACGCAUACCUCACCAGAGGAACCUAGCUUUGCCUCUUCCUCCCGGUGAUACACACGUAUGCUACAUCUUUUUCUCCAGUCUUCACGGCCUUUUUCCAUUACUGAAUGAGAUGACUAUUUAUACAAAGUUUGGCACUCAGCCAAGACCCACGCACUCACGCCGGCCAUCACACUCGGCCAUCACGUCUCCAGACUAGUUGCUCCACUAACCAACUAACUACAUGAACUAACCCAUGAUCUUAUCUUCUCCUAGAAUCUCUCUAGGGUCCAAAGACUAGUACGUGCAUGCAGCUGACAACUAGAUAACUACUCCACGCAUGCAGCUAACAAACUAACUGACUCUCUCAGUUCGACUAGACAUGAUUAAUCCUAACAUUCACCUCCCUAAUCUUGUCAUGUCAACUCCUCUAAUCUUGAUGCAGAUCACCUGCAACCUCUUGCCAUGAACUUUGCCUUCGCAGCACCAUCGCCCCGUCAUCGCGGCCGAUCCAUCUCGCCGAAGGCAUCACACCACCACGUAGACCACCGUCGACCAGCUUCAUGUUGAUCCUCAUGACGGCUUCACACCGCCGUACAUCUUGUCAGCAGCAUCUCACUGCCGUCUUCUUGGAACGGCAUCUCACCGUCGUCUUCUCGUGGUAGCAUCACACUGCCACUGCUAGCGCCGGACGGCAUCGCGCCGCCGCCGCACCAAGCGGCAUCGCACCGUCUCCUUCUUGUGGCGGCAUCACACCGCCGCCUCCUCCUCGCGGCAUCGCACCGCAGUCUCCUUGUCGCCGCAGCAUCACGCUGUGGCCUCCUCUUGACGUGGACGACGCCUUCGCGACACCGAUCACCACGCUGUCUUGCUGCACGCAGUGACCACCUCUUGACGUGCACGACACCUCGACGCUGAUCAUCACGUCGGCUGAAUCUAGCGGUAUCACACCGCAACGGGCCACCAGCGGAACCACGCCGCCGAUGACCUCCACCUCGCAUCGUCGACCUCCGCAUCACAUGGAGUCCACCGCGCCGCCACGCAGGAGCUCCACAGCCUCCAUGCCACCGUGCAGCGCCGCCGCGCUCGCCGAGGUGUCGCGCACCUCCAUAGGCCGACACGAGACCCGGAACUUCAUCGCGCGCCGCCGACGGACGCCGCCACCGUCGGCACACCUCCGGCCGGCAAGAGCAAUGACGCCCCAAGACAACCAAGCUCAUGAUACCAAUUGUUGACGCCGCCUCCUCGUGGUGCCGCUUCUUCUUCUUCCACUCCUCUCACAACUCUCACUUGUGUUUCUCUCUUCUUCUCUCAAGAACACACACAAGAGAAAGAAGACUCAACACACACACGCACGCGUACCUCACCAGAGGAAACUAGCUUUGCCUCUUCCUCCCGGUGAGACACACGUAUGCUACAUCUUUUUCUCCAGCCCUCACGGCCUUUUCCCAUUACUGAAUGAGAUCACUAUUUAUACAAAGUUUGGCACUCAGCCAAGACCAACGCACUCACGCCGGCCAUCACACUCGGCCAUCACGUCUCCAGACUAGUUGCUCCACUAACCAACUAACUACAUGCACUAACCCAUGAUCUUAUCUUCUCCUAGAAUCUCUCUAGGGUCCAAAGACUAGUACGUGCAUGCAGCUGGCAACUAGAUAACUACUCCAUGCAUGCAGCUAACAAACUAACUGACUCUCUCAGUUCGUCUAGACAUGAUUAAUCCUAACAAAAUUGAAAGAUUUCUGUUAACUUAGAAAAUCUGAAUAUUAUUGUCAGAGUGCAACAUUAUUUUAGUUUAAUAAAAAAACCAAAAAAUGCUUGAUCAUUCAGAACUUCUUUGGAAGUCAAGUUAAAGUCAAGGUGGAUUAAUCUUCUUAGGAGAAAUGACCAAGUAUAUGUGCUAUAUUUAAUCUUCAGUUUAGGUUCUAGAUUAACUGAUUAAGCCGUCUAUGCAAGUGAACAUACAAAAGACUGGAGAAAUUCAAAUUAGAUAAUCUAGUUAUCCAAGCAUACCAUGAAAUAAAUCGAAGAAUCAGUCCAAAAACAAAUACAAGAGCAUGUGCACUGAAGAGGGAAACAAUGUAUCGAUACAUUGAUUUCCCAAAAACAAAUGAUGUAAUUAUGUGGCAAUAGGAAGAUGGAUUCCGGGAGGUAGAAAGCUAUGGACAAGCGAACCAACACUAUACGUACAGAAGCCAAAAUUCAAGUCAAACCUGCAGUAGCAGGAAUAGUUACAAUGUGAUCAAUGACGCGAAUUGGAGGUAGUUAAAAUCAUAUAAGGACUACAUAUCCUAUUUGCAACCUACUUAAAAAUAGUAUGGUAGUGAUUAAGUUUUCUCACAUAUUGUUUUUACAGUUCCUAGUCUAGAUUACUAUUUGGAAAAGUAGAUAUAGUGUCACGCAUGUACACUAGACAUUCUGCUGCACACAAUGGAACACAUAAAUCUGUUAGUUUCGUAAAAACAUAUUUAGCUGACAAUAUUCGGAUCAUUAUCAACAUAUAUACCUCCCCGCUCUAAAUAUGCAAAUCACUAAUAGGGCACACUGAUACAUAUUUUGUAUAAGUUAGCAUCUCUAAAAUCUAGACACUGGAACUCCAAAAAAAAAUAUCAUAUUAUCAGGAAUGAACCUAGGAAAUAUGGAUUCCAUGGUUACAUUUGCAGGGAAAUUUCAUAUGGGUGUUUAAUAAUAAUAAAACAUAGAUUUGGAUCCCUUUUCAAACACGGUACAUGUAUGUGCUGUAAAUAGAACCUAUAUAACUCAAGUACGCCGUACAUCUAGCUUAAUUUUUGCAUGGGCAACAAUUUGAUCUUACUGCAGAUCUGCCAAAGAUAGAUAUAUAUACCACUACCAUGCGAUAAUCUAACAAUUAGCGUUUACUCGGAAGAAAUAACAUACAACAUCGAAAUUCAUUCCAUAGGAAUCGUCAACUAUUUUUGUUGUCUAACAAAUGGUCGCACGGGAAGACAUGUGUAAAGCUUCCCGUGUAAACAGUUAAUGUAAAUUGGCAGGUUGGCAGUGGCAGUUGAUGUGGAUGUAGUUUAACAGAAACUUGCUGCAUGGUGCCACUUUAGGCGAGAUCACAUUCUAGCUGGUUCUCACCCACUCGCCCAAAUGUAUAAUCUGAUGUAGAGAAGUGAUGAAGAUAGAUAUAGAAAAAGGCCUUUUGUUGUUGAUGAGAUGUGAUGGAUUAAGCCGACUUAUUAGGGGUUCAGUGAUGAAUUAAACGGAUGGAGGAGCAGGGAUUUAACAAUGCAAGGCGAUUUACCAGUGGAGUGGGGCAGGAAUAACGGGAGACUGACUCGAGUAGGGCUUCGAUUGUAAGUUAAGGUGCCACCAGUCCAACGUAAUUGCUCAACUUGACGGCCUCAAGUACCAAUCGGGGCCUCCUUUCUUGAAACCAUCAUGCGUACUACACCUCCUCAUAUGAUGCAUCAACCAUCUAUAUUUAAAAACUUGAAAUAAGAAGAGUUCUAAUGGUUGGGUGCGGAGAAAUUGGAUUGCUUCACUGAUCAUAACAUUGCAAUGAAAUACAAAAAAGAGGUCUGUAUACAUGGUACUCCAAGAAUAACAAUGCGAGUUUGAUACAUAUACAUAGUAAGAAAAAAAUACUAAUGUUACAACAAAAAUCAAAAGCCUAGAUAGAGCCCUAAAACACAAAUUAGUAAUCCCCACAAAAAAACACAAAUUAUUAAUGCUAUUGUGAUGCAACCUUUUUCAGAUCGAAACAACAUGCAGAUCCGACAUCUUUUUCUAGAUCAAAGGGGCACACCAAUCUAAUGGAAAAUAGAAACGCACAUGGCUUACUUGAGAUCAUCACUACGGCCCCGGAUAUGAAAAGUUGAAAUAAGAGGAGAUUUAAAUAUUUCAUAGGGGCGGGAUUGAGAAGAGAUUGGGUUGCAGCACGGAUGGCCGGUGACCUGCAACGGAGAACAAAGAGGGAAACGGAGCCGGCUGGGCGCGCGGCGACGGAGUACCUUGGGGCGCGAAGGAGGCUGAAGCUUCUGCUCACCGGCCAUGAAUGGGAGCGCCGUCUAGGUCAUGGAGAGCAGCGGAGGAGAAGACGGGUUGCCGGCUAUGAAUGGGAGCGCCGCCUAGGGGCAUGGAGAGCAGCAGAGGAGGAACAAUGGAGGAGGAGAAGACGGGCCAAAGGAGCAGAUAUUUUUGUAUUCUGUAUUAUUAAAUUAAAAGAGAGGAGGCGUG